UACAGAGGGUGCUAGCGUUGUUCGGAAUUACUGGGCGUAAAGGGCGCGUAGGCGGCCCGCUAAGUCGAACGUGAAAUCCCCGGGCUCAACCCGGGAACUGCGUCCGAUACUGGCAGGCUUGAGUCCGGGAGAGGGAUGUGGAAUUCCAGGUGUAGCGGUGAAAUGCGUAGAUAUCUGGAGGAAUACCGGUGGCGAAGGCGGCAUCCUGGACCGGCAUUGACGCUGAGGAGCGAAAGCCAGGGGAGCAAACGGG
RNAcentral lists this ribosomal RNA (253 nucleotides) under uncultured bacterium. RNAcentral's name for it is "partial 16S ribosomal RNA". It matches the Rfam family "Bacterial small subunit ribosomal RNA", at positions 524 to 776 of the family's 1533-position model. The record is from RNAcentral.